This 504-nucleotide ribosomal RNA is filed under the name uncultured Glomeraceae. RNAcentral's name for it is "SSU rRNA". It matches the Rfam family "Eukaryotic small subunit ribosomal RNA", at positions 569 to 1077 of the family's 1831-position model. The record is from RNAcentral. Lineage: Eukaryota; Fungi; Glomeromycota; Glomeromycetes; Glomerales; Glomeraceae.
AGCAGCCGCGGUAAUUCCAGCUCCAAUAGCGUAUAUUAAAGUUGUUGCAGUUAAAAAGCUCGUAGUUGAAUUUCGGGGUCAGUAGGCUGGUCAUGCCACAGGUAUGUACUGGUCUCACUGAUUCCUCCUUCCUGAUGAACCGUAAUGCCAUUAAUUUGGUGUUGCGGGGAAACUGGACUGUUACUUUGAAAAAAUUAGAGUGUUUAAAGCAAGCUAACGCUUGAAUACAUUAGCAUGGAAUAAUGAAAUAGGACGUUUGAUUCUAUUUUGUUGGUUUCUAGGAUCGACGUAAUGAUUAAUAGGGAUAGUUGGGGGCAUUAGUAUUCAAUUGUCAGAGGUGAAAUUCUUGGAUUUAUUGAAGACUAACUACUGCGAAAGCAUUUGCCAAGGAUGUUUUCAUUAAUCAAGAACGAAAGUUAGGGGAUCGAAGACGAUCAGAUACCGUCGUAGUCUUAACCAUAAACUAUGCCGACUAGGGAUCGAAUGAUGUUAAUUUUUUAAUGA